CUGGGCGGCAGCUUACCAUGCAGUCGAGCGGAGCGAGGGUGCUUGCACCUUAGCUUAGCGGCGGACGGGUGAGUAAUGCUUAGGAAUCUGCCUAUUAGUGGGGGACAACAUUCCGAAAGGGAUGCUAAUACCGCAUACGCCCUACGGGGGAAAGCAGGGGAUCUUCGGACCUUGCGCUAAUAGAUGAGCCUAAGUCGGAUUAGCUAGUUGGUGGGGUAAAGGCCUACCAAGGCGACGAUCUGUAGCGGGUCUGAGAGGAUGAUCCGCCACACUGGGACUGAGACACGGCCCAGACUCCUACGGGAGGCAGCAGUGGGGAAUAUUGGACAAUGGGCGGAAGCCUGAUCCAGCCAUGCCGCGUGUGUGAAGAAGGCCUUUUGGUUGUAAAGCACUUUAAGCGAGGAGGAGGCUCUUAAGGUUAAUACCCUUGAUGAGUGGACGUUACUCGCAGAAUAAGCACCGGCUAACUCUGUGCCAGCAGCCGCGGUAAUACAGAGGGUGCGAGCGUUAAUCGGAUUUACUGGGCGUAAAGCGUGCGUAGGCGGCUGAUUAAGUCGGAUGUGAAAUCCCUGAGCUUAACUUAGGAAUUGCAUUCGAUACUGGUCAGCUAGAGUAUGGGAGAGGAUGGUAGAAUUCCAGGUGUAGCGGUGAAAUGCGUAGAGAUCUGGAGGAAUACCGAUGGCGAAGGCAGCCAUCUGGCCUAAUACUGACGCUGAGGUACGAAAGCAUGGGGAGCAAACAGGAUUAGAUACCCUGGUAGUCCAUGCCGUAAACGAUGUCUACUAGCCGUUGGGGCCUUUGAGGCUUUAGUGGCGCAGCUAACGCGAUAAGUAGACCGCCUGGGGAGUACGGUCGCAAGACUAAAACUCAAAUGAAUUGACGGGGGCCCGCACAAGCGGUGGAGCAUGUGGUUUAAUUCGAUGCAACGCGAAGAACCUUACCUGGUCUUGACAUAGUAAGAACUUUCCAGAGAUGGAUUGGUGCCUUCGGGAACUUACAU
RNAcentral lists this ribosomal RNA (1000 nucleotides) under Acinetobacter tandoii. RNAcentral describes it as "bacterial SSU rRNA". It matches the Rfam family "Bacterial small subunit ribosomal RNA", at positions 36 to 1033 of the family's 1533-position model. Lineage: Bacteria; Pseudomonadati; Pseudomonadota; Gammaproteobacteria; Moraxellales; Moraxellaceae. The record is from RNAcentral.